RNAcentral lists this ribosomal RNA (450 nucleotides) under uncultured bacterium. RNAcentral describes it as "partial 16S ribosomal RNA". It matches the Rfam family "Bacterial small subunit ribosomal RNA", at positions 354 to 796 of the family's 1533-position model. The record is from RNAcentral.
GUGGGGAAUAUUGGACAAUGGGCGAAAGCCUGAUCCAGCCAUGCAGCGUGUGUGAAGAAGGUCUUCGGAUUGUAAAGCACUUUAAGUUGGGAGGAAGGGUAGUAACCUAAUACGUUGCUACUUUGACGUUACCGACAGAAUAAGCACCGGCUAACUUCGUGCCAGCAGCCGCGGUAAUACGAAGGGUGCAAGCGUUAAUCGGAAUUACUGGGCGUAAAGCGCGCGUAGGUGGUUCAGUAAGUUGGAAGUGAAAUCCCCGGGCUCAACCUGGGAACUGCUUUCAAAACUGCUGAGCUAGAGUACGGUAGAGGGUGGUGGAAUUUCCUGUGUAGCGGUGAAAUGCGUAGAUAUAGGAAGGAACACCAGUGGCGAAGGCGACCACCUGGACUGAUACUGACACUGAGGUGCGAAAGCAUGGGGAGCAAACAGGAUUAGAUACCCUUGUAGUCC